UACGUAGGGGGCAAGCGUUGUUCGGAAUUACUGGGCGUAAAGGGCGCGUAGGCGGCACGGCAAGUCGGGAGUGAAAGGCCUGGGCUCAACCGAGGAACUGCUUUCGAGACUGCCGAGCUAGAGUGCGGAAGGGGCAACUGGAAUUCCCAGUGUAGCGGUGAAAUGCGUAGAUAUCUGGAGGAACACCGGUGGCGAAGGCGGCAUCCUGGACCGGUAUUGACGCUGAGGCGCGAAAGCCAGGGGAGCAAACGGG
This 253-nucleotide ribosomal RNA is filed under the name uncultured bacterium. Its description in RNAcentral is "partial 16S ribosomal RNA". It matches the Rfam family "Bacterial small subunit ribosomal RNA", at positions 524 to 776 of the family's 1533-position model. The record is from RNAcentral.